GCAAGUCGAGGGGUAACAUGAGAGCUUGCUCUUGAUGACGACCGGCGCACGGGUGCGUAACGCGUAUGCAACCUACCCAUCACUGAGGGAUAGCCCGUGGAAACAUGGAUUAAUACCUCAUAAUACUUAUCGGAGGCAUCUCUGAUUUUUUAAAGAUUUAUUGGUGAUGGAUGGGCAUGCGUUAGAUUAGCUAGUUGGUAAGGUAAUGGCUUACCAAGGCUACGAUCUAUAGGGGUUCUGAGAGGAUGAUC
This 251-nucleotide ribosomal RNA is filed under the name uncultured bacterium. Its description in RNAcentral is "partial 16S ribosomal RNA". It matches the Rfam family "Bacterial small subunit ribosomal RNA", at positions 57 to 305 of the family's 1533-position model. The record is from RNAcentral.